AAGUGAAACCGCGAAUGGCUCAUUAAAUCAGUUAUGGUUCAUUAGAUCGUACCCAUUUACUUGGACAACUGUGGUAAUUCUAGAGCUAAUACAUGCAGCAGAGCUCCGACCUUUUGGGACGAGCGCUUUUAUUAGACAAGGCCAGUCGGGCGGCGUCCGUUCAUAUGGUGACUCUGGAUAACUUACGGCUGAUCGCACGGGCUCGUCCCGGCGACGCAUCUUUCAAGUGUCUGCCUUAUCAACUGUCGACGGUUGGUUAAAUGCCUACCGUGGUUGUAACGGGUAACGGGGAAUCAGGGUUCGAUUCCGGAGAGGGAGCCUGAGAAACGGCUACCAGUUCUAAGGAAGGCAGCAGGCGCGCAAAUUGCCCACUCGAAGCACGUGGAGGCAGUGACGAAAAAUAACAAUACGGGACUCUUUUGAGACCCCGUAAUUGGAAUGAGCACAGUUUAAAGCUCUUAACGAUAAACAAUUUUAGACCAAGCCUAGUGCCAGCUGUCGCGGUAACUCUAGCUAAGAAAGUGUAUAUUAAAGUUGUUGCGGUUAAAAAGCUCGUAGUUGGAUCUGUGUUCCUGUGCCGGACACUGCCUACCGGCGGUUAGUUCGGUCGCAGAACAGCCAGCCGGUUUCCCUGGAUGAUCUUCACCGGUUGUCCUUGGUGACCGGCACGUUUACUUUGAAAAAAUUAGAGUGCUCAAAGCAGGCGUGACGCCUGGACAA
This 720-nucleotide ribosomal RNA is filed under the name Falcileptoneta sp. 2 HZ-2020. Its description in RNAcentral is "SSU rRNA". It matches the Rfam family "Eukaryotic small subunit ribosomal RNA", at positions 79 to 802 of the family's 1831-position model. The record is from RNAcentral. Lineage: Eukaryota; Metazoa; Arthropoda; Arachnida; Araneae; Leptonetidae.